GGUGGCUUAAUGGUAGAGCGCUUGUCUCACAUGCAUGAGGUCCUGGGUUCGAUCCCUCAGUACCA
Molecule: transfer RNA, 65 nt
Filed under: Dipodomys ordii (Ord's kangaroo rat)
Lineage: Eukaryota; Metazoa; Chordata; Mammalia; Rodentia; Heteromyidae
Rfam family: tRNA
About the family: Transfer RNA (tRNA) molecules are approximately 80 nucleotides in length. Their secondary structure includes four short double-helical elements and three loops (D, anti-codon, and T loops).
Source: Rfam by way of RNAcentral